GACGAACGCUGGCGGCGUGCUUAACACAUGCAAGUCGAACGGAAAGGCCCUGCUUUUGUGGGGUGCUCGAGUGGCGAACGGGUGAGUAACACGUGAGUAACCUGCCCUUGACUUUGGGAUAACUUCAGGAAACUGGGGCUAAUACCGGAUAGGAGCUCCUGCUGCAUGGUUGGGGUUGGAAAGUUUCGGCGGUUGGGGAUGGACUCGCGGCUUAUCAGCUUGUUGGUGGGGUAGUGGCUUACCAAGGCUUUGACGGGUAGCCGGCCUGAGAGGGUGACCGGCCACAUUGGGACUGAGAUACGGCCCAGACUCCUACGGGAGGCAGCAGUGGGGAAUAUUGCACGAUGGGCGGAAGCCUGAUGCAGCAACGCCGCGUGCGGGAUGACGGCCUUCGGGUUGUAAACCGCUUUCGCCUGUGACGAAGCGUGAGUGACGGUAAUGGGUAAAGAAGCACCGGCUAACUACGUG
This 468-nucleotide ribosomal RNA is filed under the name uncultured bacterium. Its description in RNAcentral is "partial 16S ribosomal RNA". It matches the Rfam family "Bacterial small subunit ribosomal RNA", at positions 28 to 507 of the family's 1533-position model. The record is from RNAcentral.